CCCUCUGUGGACUUUUCGGUGAAAAUUAACAUUUUGCAUGCGGGUUUUUUGAACUCAAUGCAUUAUUUUUGACUUAGUCGACGACGACUAAACAAGCUCUUCAAAAUGUCCAUAGACAGCGGUUGGUUCCUUAAUUAAUAAAAAAGAAACAUUUAAAAUGAACAAAUAAUUAAAAAAUUUUGAUUAUUUCGUACCAAAAGCUUUCAGCCAGUUUUUAAAUAGUUUGAUAAAUUCCUGGCUUCCUUGUUAUUAAAAUGAUGUGGAUUCGAGGCAUUUUGAGAAAAUUUUGAAUCGAAAAAUUGUUUGAGUUAUGUCGACCCUCACCAGAUGCACUAUGCAUAUACAGGGUGAUAAAGAUGAUAAUUGCAAAAUAUCGUCGGGUAGAGAUGAUCGCUGAUCGUGAUCGCUCAAAACACACUUAAAAUGAACAAAAAAUGUGGACAAUUUUGGAUGUGAAUCUUUAAGCAAGUUCCUAAAUCAGGUUUUUGCAUUCGUCGCUUCCUGGUCAUAAAAAUUAUGUGAAAUUUGAGUUAUUUGGAGAAAAUUGCAACUUGAAAAUAAAUCGACUUUGAUAAUGAAACUUUGAAAUGCGGGAUAUUUGAGCUCAAUGAAUUGUUUCCGAUUUGAGAAGCUUGCCAAUAUGUAUUCGAAAUGUCUUCGGAUAAAGAUUUUGCUCACUUAAAACAAACUUAAAAUGAAAAAAAAAUCCGAUUUUUUUGGAUCUCAAACUUUUAGUGUGUUUUUAAAACAGUUCAUUGCGUUUUUUGUUUCCAACUGAUUAAAAUGAUGUGCAGUUUAAAUCAACCUACACCUCUCAAACUUUUAUUUUCCUUGAAGUCUUAGUUUUUGCAUCCUUUAAAUUCCUAUUGGCACAUGGCCAUGUGCUGAUUUUUUAUUUCUUCCAACUUACUUUCGGUCUCUUUCUUCGAAAAUCUUCGAAAUAAUUUAAUGUUUCUAUUUUUUUCGCCUUGACCAACCUGUUUAUAGUAUAGUUAAGGUAAUAGAUGGAUCUAUAAAGGUUUCUUCUCCUAAAUUCAGACAGUUGAUUUGUCUGUUCCGUUAAAUAACUUGUUGGAAAUGAAAAUUGUUAUGUUAUUAAUUUGCUUUGCUCUGUUUGUGACAAUGCCAGAAGCCAAAAAAAGAAAGCCUACAGCGACUACCGGACCCGAACAUUUGCUCACUUCGUCUGAGACAUCGAUGUUACCAGUUGUGACAACGUUCUAUCCUCUACAUAAGAGUUUCGAAGUAUUUACCAGCAAACCGAUUGCCUGCCUUAACACGACUCAACGACGAGACAGCAAUGGGAAAUGCCACGACAUCGAUAAAUAGCUCAAGAAAACGCGACAAAUAUAGAAUUGUUGGAGUGUAUAUAAAAAUUGAGUUAAAAAG
Long non-coding RNA from Dendroctonus ponderosae (mountain pine beetle), 1389 nucleotides. RefSeq lists it as uncharacterized. The record is from RefSeq and is a predicted model, not a curated record. The transcript is spliced from 2 exons. NCBI's taxonomy places the organism in Eukaryota, Metazoa, Arthropoda, Insecta, Coleoptera, Curculionidae.